This 425-nucleotide ribosomal RNA is filed under the name uncultured bacterium. Its description in RNAcentral is "bacterial SSU rRNA". It matches the Rfam family "Bacterial small subunit ribosomal RNA", at positions 355 to 773 of the family's 1533-position model. The record is from RNAcentral.
UCGAGAAUUUUUCACAAUGGGCGCAAGCCUGAUGGAGCGACGCCGCGUGGGGGAUGAAUGGCUUCGGCCCGUAAACCCCUGUCAUUUGCGAUCAAACCUUGCUAUUUAAAAGAUGGCGAGCUGAUAGUAGCGAAAGAGGAAGGGACGGCUAACUCUGUGCCAGCAGCCGCGGUAAUACAGAGGUCCCAAGCGUUGUUCGGAUUCACUGGGCGUAAAGGGUGCGUAGGUGGUGGGGUAAGUCGGAUGUGAAAUCUCGGAGCUCAACUCCGAAAUGGCAUUGGAAACUACCCUGCAAGAGGGGCGGAGGGGGGACUGGAAUUCUCGGUGUAGCAGCGAAAUGCGUAGAUAUCGAGAGGAACACCAGUGGCGAAGGCGAGUCCCUGGACGACUCCUGACACUGAGGCACGAAAGCUAGGGGAGCAAAC